This is a long non-coding RNA of Cervus elaphus (red deer), 1009 nucleotides long. RefSeq lists it as uncharacterized. Lineage: Eukaryota; Metazoa; Chordata; Mammalia; Artiodactyla; Cervidae. The record is from RefSeq and is a predicted model, not a curated record. The transcript is spliced from 3 exons.
ACCGUUGCCCUGUUUGCCCAAAGGAAGAGCGAAAUGUAUUUUUAUUUUUUUACAAACAGAUGAGUUUCCUUUUAGAGCUACUGGAUCUGAAUUAGCUGGGAUGGGAAUGCCUCUGUGGCCAGAGGGCUCCGGACGGAGCAGCUGUCAGCUGGGUGGCUGGCCACCACGCCCGGUGCCUGGGAGGACAGGAGGCUUUGCCCCACUCUAUGAGGAGCGCGGCCUGGCUGUGGGCACAUGGAGGCCAGCACACCGGGGUCCUCCCGGGUACGUCCGGAUCUCUCUCCCAGAGACCGCCUGCAGUCAUGGAGAAGGAGGUGCUGACCCCAUGGCCCUGUGAGCAGAGGUGCGAACAAGGAGAGCCUGUCUUGAUUUGGACAGCCUAACCCUGUGUUGUCCCAAGAUCUAGUUCAGAAUCCGGCGAGCCACUCCUGAACUUGGCUGGGAAAGAGAUGCUCCACCUUCAGAGUGACCUGAAUACACUAAUGAAGCCACAGAACACCCCACCACGUGUGGUUUCCUGGAUGGAUAAACGUUUCCUCACCACCCACCCCCCAACCCAGAGGACUGUCAGAGUCAGACAGGCCAGCCUUUGGGAUGUGGAUUUAGGAUUUUGUCCUGAAGUAGAAAUUCCGGGGAUAGGGAUAAAUUUGUUUUUUUGCAAAAACUGUCCCGUUUCUGCACACUUGCGUAUUUUAGCCUUUCCGAAUCACCUUGUCCUCCUUGGCCACUCACGCUCCCCUUGCGUGAUUGCAUGCCCCAUUUGUGCUCAGGAUCCCAUGGCACAAGCAGUCUCUUUCAGCCUCCAGAGCUGGGUGCUAUGCAGGGCCCAGAGUGCUGCCUGCGGAUGUGGCUCCCCAGGGAGUGACAGGACUCUGCAGGGACAAACUGCUCCGCAGAGGGAACCCAGACCUUUGCAAACAAAGGCGUUUAGCAUCCUUCUGGAAAGUCCCAUGAAAAGCAAAUCAUUGCAACAUUUUUUCCUCUUGUUAGUCUCGUGGUGUGUUGUAUG